This 566-nucleotide ribosomal RNA is filed under the name uncultured bacterium. Its description in RNAcentral is "partial 16S ribosomal RNA". It matches the Rfam family "Bacterial small subunit ribosomal RNA", at positions 355 to 914 of the family's 1533-position model. The record is from RNAcentral.
UGGGGAAUUUUGGACAAUGGGCGAAAGCCUGAUCCAGCAAUGCCGCGUGUGUGAAGAAGGCCUUCGGGUUGUAAAGCACUUUUGUCCGGAAAGAAAUCCUUGGCUCUAAUACAGUCGGGGGAUGACGGUACCGGAAGAAUAAGCACCGGCUAACUACGUGCCAGCAGCCGCGGUAAUACGUAGGGUGCAAGCGUUAAUCGGAAUUACUGGGCGUAAAGCGUGCGCAGGCGGUUUGCUAAGACCGAUGUGAAAUCCCCGGGCUCAACCUGGGAACUGCAUUGGUGACUGGCAGGCUAGAGUAUGGCAGAGGGGGGUAGAAUUCCACGUGUAGCAGUGAAAUGCGUAGAGAUGUGGAGGAAUACCGAUGGCGAAGGCAGCCCCCUGGCAAGUACUGACGCUCAUGCACGAAAGCGUGGGGAGCAAACAGGAUUAGAUACCCUGGUAGUCCACGCCCUAAACGAUGUCAACUAGUUGUUGGGGAUUCAUUUCCUUAGUAACGUAGCUAACGCGUGAAGUUGACCGCCUGGGGAGUACGGUCGCAAGAUUAAAAACUCAAAUGAAUUGAC